UUUUAUCGAUAUGUCUCUCCUGAAUGAAUUGGCUUAAUGCCUUAUUUCCUUCCUCGGCUAUCAUCAGGGAUGGAGCUACCUUAGGAUGGAGGGGGCCAUGGCCCCCCCAAGAUUUUUUGGGUCAUGCAAUAGAAUAUCAAGUGGGCUAAUGACUAUGGUGAAGAUAAACAUUAGCUAAUGACUAUUGGGCUAAAUUCAUUAGAAUACCAAGUGGGUCUUACAAAAAAUAGAAUAGUCCAAAAAAUAGUAUAACUAAUGACUAUUGUGAAGAUAAUUUCAAGAGUAGAUAUUUUCCCAUUUUCCUAUUUAGUAUAAUAGAUGGAUUUCGUGAUUUGAAAGAACGUUAGGUGUAAUUCUGACGAAGCUUUGACAUGUUCUAAAAGACUUUUUUUUUGCUAUGUUUUUGUUGUCUUUGUCAAAGAAAAUUACAUUACUACAUUAUUUUUGUUUUAGUAAAAAUAUAUUUUGUAAUUGUGGAACUUUACUUUUUAGUGAUGAAUAUAUAUUAUGUUGUUAAAAAAUAUUUUGGCCCCCCCAAUAUCGAAUCCUGGCUCCGUCCCUGGCUAUCAUAGCCUUCUCUUAGAUAAUCCCGAACGAGUCAAUAUGAAACACCGAUAACUUCUCGUAGAGCGAAGGCUUCAAACCUUGCUCAAAUCUUUGCGCCUUUCUCUCAUCAGUGUCCACUUGAUGUGAAGCAAAUCUCGUUAGUUCGUUGAACUUGACAGCAUACUAGAGUACCAACAUGUCCCCUUGUUUCAACUCUAAAAAUUUCAUUUCCAUCCCACUCCGCAUAUUCUUGGGAAAGUAGUUCUCGAAGAACAACUCCUUAAACCGUUCCAAUGCUACUACACCCUCUCCAGCCCUGUUCUGGUUGGUCUCCCACCAGAAGUUAGCCGCACCCUUUAACAUAUAGGUAGCAAAAGUCGUCUUUUGCUCCUCUUCUACUUUUACCAUAACGAAUGUCUUUUCAAUCUCUUUAAUCCAUGAUUGAGCAUCUAUAGGCUCAGUGUUCCCCUUAAACUCAGGCGGUCCCACGCUCCUAGCUAAAAACCUUAAAACUUGUCACUGACACAUCUUAAAGGAUUAAUAUUUACUCCUGCAGUUAUAGCCCCUAGUAGAAGAUCUAAAAAUUGCUGCAUAGUGUUUUCUUGAUCUCUAUUCUCAUUCUCUGUCUCUUCUUGAUCUUUUCUCAGAGGCAUAUUUCUAUUUAAUAAAAUAUAAUAUUUUCUCAUCAUUCAUUUUAAAGCAUUAUUAUUAAUGCUAAAAAAUUAUUUAUCACAAAGCACAUAUUAAUACACAUUUAUAUUAACAUGUAUCUCAUAGUACACCUUAUAUACUUUUCAUUUUUUAGCUUUUUGCUAUUUCAUACGUAAUCCUUUAUUACUUCGUAAGGUCCUAUAAUUCUCAGACUUAAUUUUUCAUUCUUACACCUUUUGACCCUCUCAUGAGUCUUCUCUAGUUCGACACUAUCUGUGUCUAUUCUUCUUUGACAUCACUUAUGUUUAUUCUAUUUUGACAUCUCCUAUGUCUUUUUUGUUAUGAAACCACCUGUGUCUGUUUUAUGGUAACACCACCAGUGUUUGUUCUUAUUAUAUAUGACACCACUAGUGUCUAGUUUAACACCACCUAUAUAUGUUUAUCUUAUUUUGACACCACCAGUGCCAAUUUUAUUAUAACACUACCAAUGUCUAUUUUGUUUUUCUUAUGAUAGCACCAAUGUUUGUUCUUACUUUAACAUCCCCUAUGUCUGCUUAAUACCCUUAAUAUUAGAUCUGG
This 1776-nucleotide long non-coding RNA is filed under the name Panax ginseng (ginseng). RNAcentral describes it as "long non-coding RNA (PGIN_LNC012749)". The record is from RNAcentral. Lineage: Eukaryota; Viridiplantae; Streptophyta; Magnoliopsida; Apiales; Araliaceae.